GCUAGUGUAGCUUAAAUAAAGCAUAGCACUGAAGAUGCUAAGAUGGGCCUUAAAAACCUCACAUGCA
This 67-nucleotide transfer RNA is filed under the name Aborichthys elongatus. RNAcentral describes it as "tRNA-Phe". It matches the Rfam family "tRNA". From Rfam's summary of the family: Transfer RNA (tRNA) molecules are approximately 80 nucleotides in length. Their secondary structure includes four short double-helical elements and three loops (D, anti-codon, and T loops). Further hydrogen bonds mediate the characteristic L-shaped molecular structure. tRNAs have two regions of fundamental functional importance: the anti-codon, which is responsible for specific mRNA codon recognition, and the 3' end, to which the tRNAs corresponding amino acid is attached (by aminoacyl-tRNA synthetases). tRNAs cope with the degeneracy of the genetic code in two manners: having more than one tRNA (with a specific anti-codon) for a particular amino acid; and 'wobble' base-pairing, i.e. permitting non-standard base-pairing at the 3rd anti-codon position. The record is from RNAcentral. Lineage: Eukaryota; Metazoa; Chordata; Actinopteri; Cypriniformes; Nemacheilidae.